Long non-coding RNA from Octopus sinensis (East Asian common octopus), 212 nucleotides. RefSeq lists it as uncharacterized. The transcript is spliced from 3 exons. Lineage: Eukaryota; Metazoa; Mollusca; Cephalopoda; Octopoda; Octopodidae. The record is from RefSeq and is a predicted model, not a curated record.
CAUUAAGCCACAAUCGGUGCACAUUCAAAGCAGUGAUCAGUAAUUUUACGAAACCAGUAUGCUUUUGAAUCUCUCUAACAAUUCACAAUAAUGACUUGUAUUACUUUUAUUCCUACAUCAGUUCAUCUAAUUGUAAAUAUGUAUCGUUACUCUUCAUAAAACCCUUUACUUGUUUGAUUUUCAAUGUGUUUUGUCGCUUAGUUUUCCUGUUG